GAUGAACGCUGGCGGCGUGCCUAAUACAUGCAAGUCGAACGAACAGACGAGGAGCUUGUUCCUCUGACGUUAGCGGAGGACGGGUGAGUAACACGUGGAUAACCUACCUAUCAGACUGGGAUAACUUCGGAACACCGGAGCUUAUACCGUAUAAUAUCUUGCACCGCAUGGGUCAAUAGUGAUUGACGGCUUUGCUGUCACUUAUCGCUGGAUCCUGGCCGCAUUAUCUAGUUGGUGCGUUUAAGGCUUACUUAGGCUACUAUGCGUAGCCGACGUGAUAGGGUGUUCGGCGACACUAGAGCUUAGCCACGGUCCAGACUCCUACGGUAGGCAGCAGUAUGCUACCUUCCGCAACGGGCGAAAGCCUUACACAGCAACGGCGCGUGAGUGAUGGAGAUCUUCGGAUCGUAAUACCGUGUUUCUAGUGAAGAACAGAUUUGUAAUUUACUAUGCACUGCUUGACGGUACCUAGUCAGAAAGCCACGGCUAACUACGUG
Molecule: ribosomal RNA, 497 nt
Filed under: uncultured bacterium
Lineage: Bacteria
Description: partial 16S ribosomal RNA
Rfam family: Bacterial small subunit ribosomal RNA
Source: RNAcentral